This 1043-nucleotide long non-coding RNA is filed under the name Daphnia magna. Its description in RNAcentral is "uncharacterized LOC116936130, transcript variant X1". The record is from RNAcentral. Lineage: Eukaryota; Metazoa; Arthropoda; Branchiopoda; Diplostraca; Daphniidae.
UUCUGUCACCACGCCUGACUAGCUAAAGUAUACCUCAAAGUUGGCAAUUAAACCGGUAAGAACCCAAAAUUGACUGGAGCUUCGGCUUUGGCAUACCAUCAACGUAAAAAAAAACGUCAACACGAUUGGGAAGUGAAAAUUCCAGAAGGGAGGAAGGUAAAUCUGUUCCACCUGUGAUCGGCAAAUGGCAAUCAAAUCGUCAAUAUAUUUUAGCUGCAAACUUGAUCUGGCGGCUCAGGAACCCAAUUUGUUCUUAAGUAUCGGUCACUCAGCAGUAUCUUCUUAAGAUGGGUCGGAAUGAUAUCCAGGACUGGAAACGCGAAUUAGGCCUGGUUCUUGGACUUGGACCAGCGAAACUUACGGCAUGAAUGGCCAUCUAUUAAGGCUCUUGUUUAUUAAAUUAUUACGGUGGCACCAUUUUUUUUAUGCCACUGUUUAGUCUCAUUUUCCCCUUCCCCUGUCAAUCAAUUCCUCUUCUUUUCUGAUAAUGUGGCUGUCAAUCUUUCUGUACCGAUUUGACUUCUGAAUUGACAGGUAUUUUAAUUGUGAAUAUGUUUUUCUGGCCAGUAUUAAUUUUACCAUGGCUGUGUCCUUUUAGAUAAGUACUUUUCUUGAGUAUUUGUGACUGACUGAUCUUGACGUGUGACAUUCAUCGUCACCGACACGUUCUUAAUUUUCUGACAAAGUGGCAUACCCCACCCAGGCUGUUCUUAUGGAUUUGUGGAAUCGUUAUAUUGCCUGCCAACCAAGCUAAAUUUUAUCCCCUUAGUAUUAUUACAUGUAUGUGUGGGUGUGUGUCCAAGCAAGGGCACCCAUUAGUUUUAUUCUCAUCGAAGACUGGGUCACCCAGGUACUUACUGUCAUGCCCUGUUUUAUUGAAUCGUUAUUGACCUAUUUCCCCUUUUGACUAGAACUGAUGAUCUGCUAAUAAAAUCUGAACCCAUUGGCAUUGAUUUCAUAUAACUAUACAGUCCACUCACGAAACGAUUGACCAAGGACCAACAUCGAUUUCCAAUUUUUCCUUGUUACAGUUUAGAGUAUCA